CUACGGGUGGCAGCAGUGAGGAAUAUUGGUCAAUGGGCGAAAGCCUGAACCAGCAACGCCGCGUGAGGGAUGAAGCACUAAGGUGUGUAAACCUCUGUUAGAAGGAACGAAUGGCUCCGAUAGUCUCGGAGAUUGACGGUACCUUCAGAGAAAGCCCCGGCUAACUCCGUGCCAGCAGCCGCGGUAAUACGGAGGGGGCAAGCGUUGUCUGGAAUCACUGGGCGUAAAGGGCGUGUAGGCGGGAUUGUAAGUCAGAGGUGAAAUCUUGAGGCUUAACCUCAAGUCUGCCUUUGAUACUGCAGUUCUUGAGUGCGGAAGAGGAAAGCGGAAUUCCCGGUGUAGCGGUGACAUGCGUAGAUAUCGGGAAGAACACCAGUAGCGAAGGCGGCUUUCUGGUCCGUAACUGACGCUGAGGCGCGAAAGCGUGGGGAGCAAACAGGAUUAGAUACCCUCGUAGUC
RNAcentral lists this ribosomal RNA (459 nucleotides) under uncultured bacterium. RNAcentral describes it as "partial 16S ribosomal RNA". It matches the Rfam family "Bacterial small subunit ribosomal RNA", at positions 339 to 795 of the family's 1533-position model. The record is from RNAcentral.